RNAcentral lists this unclassified non-coding RNA (329 nucleotides) under soil metagenome. Its description in RNAcentral is "partial contains 5.8S ribosomal RNA, internal transcribed spacer 2, and large subunit ribosomal RNA". The stretch from base 1 to 120 matches the Rfam family "5.8S ribosomal RNA", at positions 35 to 154 of the family's 154-position model. The record is from RNAcentral.
GAUGAAUAACGCAGCGAAAUGCGAUAAGUAAUGUGAAUUGCAGAAUUCAGUGAAUCAUCGAAUCUUUGAACGCACAUUGCGCCCCCUGGUAUUCCGGGGGGCAUGCCUGUCCGAGCGUCAUUACAACCCUCAAGCUCAGCUUGGUAUUGGGCCCCGCCGACCCGGCGGGCCCUAAAGUCAGUGGCGGUGCCGUCCGGCUCCGAGCGUAGUAAUUCUUCUCGCUCUGGAGGUCCGGUCGUGUGCUCGCCAGCAACCCCCAAUUUUUUUCAGGUUGACCUCGGAUCAGGUAGGGAUACCCGCUGAACUUAAGCAUAUCAAUAAGCGGAGGA